Molecule: unclassified non-coding RNA, 267 nt
Organism: Panthera pardus (leopard)
Lineage: Eukaryota; Metazoa; Chordata; Mammalia; Carnivora; Felidae
Source: Ensembl
UGUGUAGAAAUGAACUCUUGACAGAGUUUCAAAGGAAUUAAUAUUUUUGGUAAAAUGUGCUAAUGUAAAGAGUUAGAAGAUUAGCGAUGCAUAAUGAAAGCAGUGCGUUCUUUCUCAUGGAAAUAGGAAUAUAAUAAAUGUCCUGCAGGUGAUUGGGGCCGUGGCAAUUUUAUUGAAGAUUAAAGUUUGAUUGACCUUUGUUAGGGUGAUUAACCCUUCUGAAAUUAAAAGCCAGAGCUGAAUUAUUCUGGCCAAUUUAAAUGCAAA